Molecule: ribosomal RNA, 261 nt
Filed under: uncultured bacterium
Lineage: Bacteria
Description: partial 16S ribosomal RNA
Rfam family: Bacterial small subunit ribosomal RNA
Source: RNAcentral
GUCCACGCUGUAAACGGUGGGCACUAGGUGUGGGUCCUUACCAACGGGAUCCGUGCCGUAGCUAACGCAUUAAGUGCCCCGCCUGGGGAGUACGGCCGCAAGGCUAAAACUCAAAGGAAUUGACGGGGCCCGCACAAGCGGCGGAGCAUGUUGCUUAAUUCGAGGCAACGCGAAGAACCUUACCUGGGCUUGACAUGUAGGGAAAAGCCGUAGAGAUACGGUGUCCUUCGGGGCCCUACACAGGUGGUGCAUGGCUGUCGU